AACGAACGCUGGCGGCAGGCUUAACACAUGCAAGUCGAACGCCCCGCAAGGGGAGUGGCAGACGGGUGAGUAACGCGUGGGAAUCUACCCAGUUCUACGGAACAACUGAGGGAAACUUCAGCUAAUACCGUAUACGCCCUACGGGGGAAAGAUUUAUCGGAAUUGGAUGAGCCCGCGUUGGAUUAGCUAGUUGGUGAGGUAACGGCUCACCAAGGCGACGAUCCAUAGCUGGUCUGAGAGGAUGAUCAGCCACACUGGGACUGAGACACGGCCCAGACUCCUACGGGAGGCAGCAGUGGGGAAUAUUGGACAAUGGGCGCAAGCCUGAUCCAGCCAUGCCGCGUGAGUGAUGAAGGCCUUAGGGUUGUAAAGCUCUUUCAGUGGGGACGAUAAUGACGGUACCCACAGAAGAAGCCCCGGCUAACUUCGUGCCAGCCGCCGCCGUAA
This 447-nucleotide ribosomal RNA is filed under the name uncultured bacterium. RNAcentral describes it as "partial 16S ribosomal RNA". It matches the Rfam family "Bacterial small subunit ribosomal RNA", at positions 29 to 523 of the family's 1533-position model. The record is from RNAcentral.